Molecule: ribosomal RNA, 511 nt
Filed under: uncultured bacterium
Lineage: Bacteria
Description: partial 16S ribosomal RNA
Rfam family: Bacterial small subunit ribosomal RNA
Source: RNAcentral
GACAAACGCUGGCGGCAUGCCUAACACAUGCAAGUCGAACGGACAGAACAGGGAAGCUUUUCGGAGUGGAACUGGAAAGUUAGUGGCGGAUGGGUGAGUAACGCGUGGACAACCUACCUUGUAAAGGGGAAUAACCUCGAGAAAUCGAAGCUAAUACCCCAUAAUAACCUUGCUUCGCAUGAAGUAAGGAGGAAAGGCGGCCUUAGCGCUGUCGAUACAAGAUGGGUCCGCGUCUGAUUAGCUAGUUGGUGAGGUAAAGGCUCACCAAGGCGACGAUCAGUAGCCGGCCUGAGAGGGUGAACGGCCACAUUGGGACUGAGACACGGCCCAAACUCCUACGGGUGGCAGCAGUGGGGAAUCUUCCGCAAUGGGCGAAAGCCUGACGGAGCAAUGCCGCGUGAGUGAAGAAGGCCUUCGGGUUGUAAAACUCUGUCCUUAUAGAAGAGAGAGUGUUGUAGUAACUGACAAUACUAGGACGGUAGAUGAGGAGGAAGCCCCGGCUAACUAUGUG